AGAGUUUGAUCCUGGCUCAGGACGAACGCUGGCGGUGUGCUUCACACAUGCAAGUCGAGCGAAUGAAGAAGGUAGCUUGCUACUUUUGGAUUUAGCGGCGGACGGGUGAGUAAUAUAUAGGAAUCUGCCCUAGAGCGGGGAACAACAGACCGAAAGGUUUGCUAAUGCCCCAUAGGUACGCAGUCUUCGGAUUGUUUAUUAAAGGAGUAAUCCACUCUAGGAUGAGCCUGUAUCCGAUUAGCUAGUUGGCGGGGUAAAGGCCCACCAAGGCUACGAUCGGUAGUUGGUCUGAGAGGAUGAUCAGCCACAAUGGGACCGAGACACGGCCCAUACUCCUACGGGAGGCAGCAGUGGGGAAUUUUACACAAUGGGGGAAACCCUGAUGUAGCGACACCGCGUGAACGAAGAAGCCUUUUGGGGUGUAAAGUUCUGUCGGCUGGAACGAAAAAAAUGACGGUACCAGCAAAGGAAGCAUCGGCUAACUACGUGCCAGCAGCCGCGGUAAGACGUAGGAUGCAAGCGUUGUCCGGACUUAUUGGGCGUAAAGAGUUCGUAGGCGGUUAUUUAAGUCUGGUGUUAAAUACUGUGGCCCAACCACAGAACUGCAUUGGAUACUGGAUGACUUGAGUGCGGUAGAGGCGAGUGGAAUUCCCAGUGUAGCGGUGAAAUGCGUAGA
RNAcentral lists this ribosomal RNA (676 nucleotides) under uncultured bacterium. Its description in RNAcentral is "bacterial SSU rRNA". It matches the Rfam family "Bacterial small subunit ribosomal RNA", at positions 8 to 694 of the family's 1533-position model. The record is from RNAcentral.